GCCUCUAUAGCUCAGUGGUAGAGCGUUCGACUUGUAAUCGAAAGGUCCGCGUCAACCCCGCGUGGAGGCA
RNAcentral lists this transfer RNA (70 nucleotides) under Aspergillus terreus. Its description in RNAcentral is "tRNA-Thr". It matches the Rfam family "tRNA". From Rfam's summary of the family: Transfer RNA (tRNA) molecules are approximately 80 nucleotides in length. Their secondary structure includes four short double-helical elements and three loops (D, anti-codon, and T loops). Further hydrogen bonds mediate the characteristic L-shaped molecular structure. tRNAs have two regions of fundamental functional importance: the anti-codon, which is responsible for specific mRNA codon recognition, and the 3' end, to which the tRNAs corresponding amino acid is attached (by aminoacyl-tRNA synthetases). tRNAs cope with the degeneracy of the genetic code in two manners: having more than one tRNA (with a specific anti-codon) for a particular amino acid; and 'wobble' base-pairing, i.e. permitting non-standard base-pairing at the 3rd anti-codon position. RNAcentral also lists the same sequence under 1 other name. The record is from RNAcentral. Lineage: Eukaryota; Fungi; Ascomycota; Eurotiomycetes; Eurotiales; Aspergillaceae.